This 513-nucleotide ribosomal RNA is filed under the name uncultured bacterium. RNAcentral describes it as "bacterial SSU rRNA". It matches the Rfam family "Bacterial small subunit ribosomal RNA", at positions 791 to 1311 of the family's 1533-position model. The record is from RNAcentral.
UAGUCCACGCCCUAAACGAUGUUUACUCGAAGUAUGUGUUUGGCAUGUGCUUCCAAGGGAAACCGAUAAGUAAACCACCUGGGGAGUACGUCGGCAACGAUGAAACUCAAAGGAAUUGACGGGGGCCCGCACAAGCGGUGGAGCAUGUGGUUUAAUUCGAUGCAACGCGAAGAACCUUACCAGGGCUUAAAUGUAGUCUGACAGCUUUAGAGAUAGAGUUUUCUUCGGACAGAUUACAAGGUGCUGCAUGGUUGUCGUCAGCUCGUGCCGUGAGGUGUCAGGUUAAGUCCUAUAACGAGCGCAACCCCUGUUGUUAGUUACCAGCACAUUAUGGUGGGGACUCUAGCAAGACUGCCGGUGCAAACCGCGAGGAAGGUGGGGAUGACGUCAAAUCAUCACGGCCCUUACGUCCUGGGCCACACACGUGCUACAAUGGUAGGUACAGAGAGCAGCCACUUAGUGAUAAGGAGCGAAUCUAUAAAGCCUAUCUCAGUUCGGAUCGGAGUCUGCAAC